CGUAGGGUGCGAGCGUUAAUCGGAAUUACUGGGCGUAAAGCGUGCGCAGGCGGUUUUGUAAGCCAGAUGUGAAAUCCCCGGGCUCAACCUGGGAAUGGCAUUUGGGACUGCAAGGCUGGAGUGUGGCAGAGGAGACUGGAAUUCCUGGUGUAGCAGUGAAAUGCGUAGAUAUCAGGAGGAAUACCGAUGGCGAAGGCAGGUCUCUGGGCUAACACUGACGCUCAUGCACGAAAGCGUGGAGAGCAAACAGGAUUAGAUACCCUGGUAGUCCACGCCCUAAACGAUGUCGACUGGUUGUUGGGGGUUUGACACUCUCAGUAACGAAGCUAACGCGUGAAGUCGACCGCCUGGGGAGUACGGCCGCAAGGUUA
This 371-nucleotide ribosomal RNA is filed under the name uncultured organism. RNAcentral's name for it is "bacterial SSU rRNA". It matches the Rfam family "Bacterial small subunit ribosomal RNA", at positions 526 to 896 of the family's 1533-position model. The record is from RNAcentral.